UCUCUGGAGGCACAUGCCAACAUCUGGACCUGCAACUGAGGCCAAACAUCGGGGUGGAAACGUGGCCCACGGUGACUCAGCUCCCCUGGGA
Molecule: unclassified non-coding RNA, 91 nt
Organism: Fukomys damarensis (Damara mole-rat)
Lineage: Eukaryota; Metazoa; Chordata; Mammalia; Rodentia; Bathyergidae
Source: Ensembl